This 75-nucleotide transfer RNA is filed under the name Mus musculus (house mouse). Its description in RNAcentral is "tRNA-Asn". Lineage: Eukaryota; Metazoa; Chordata; Mammalia; Rodentia; Muridae. The record is from RNAcentral.
GGCUGGAGAGAUGGCUCAGUAGUUAAGAGCACUGACUGUUCUUCCAAAGGUCCUGAGUUCAAUUCCCAGCAGCCA